Molecule: long non-coding RNA, 399 nt
Organism: Trachymyrmex septentrionalis
Lineage: Eukaryota; Metazoa; Arthropoda; Insecta; Hymenoptera; Formicidae
Exons: 3
Source: RefSeq, a predicted model, not a curated record
AUGUGCACGCGCACGCGUAUGCGUGCAUCAUUAAUCGAUACUAUUAGGUUGGUGCAAAAAUAAUGUCGAUUUUUAACCUUCAACUUCAAAUCACAGAAUUUUCGAGUUCCAGAAUCGACAAAUUCUCUGAAAGCGUUUUCAGCAGCAGCUUAGUUAUUGAAGAUUUUUCCCUGUAAAAAGUGGUCGAGAUGUUUGAAGAAGUAGUAGUCGAUUGACGAGGUCCACCGAGAUAAUGACAACACAAUUAGAAAAAAGAAAGAAGAAACAAAUAAUGCGGAGGAAGAUGAAGAUAUGAACGAUGAUAGGUAUGCUUGUCGGGUAACUCCGUCAAGUUUCGUUUGUGCUCGAGCAGUGCUAAGAAUACCUCGGCCAGCCAUAUUUGGCAAUGAGACCGCGUGA